This is a long non-coding RNA of Mustela lutreola (European mink), 994 nucleotides long. RefSeq lists it as uncharacterized. NCBI's taxonomy places the organism in Eukaryota, Metazoa, Chordata, Mammalia, Carnivora, Mustelidae. The record is from RefSeq and is a predicted model, not a curated record. The transcript is spliced from 3 exons.
GACCAGCUGCUGCCACUUGACCCUGUGGUGUCUCAGCUGCCGUGUCUGUAAUGCCAUCCUCGCAGGGAAGGAGGAAUGUGGUUUAAUUUCAGCUGGAAUGCGCCCUCUGGGCUGCCCACCGCGAGGGGAGGGGACGGAGACCAAGCUUGCACGAGCCCAGGAAACUCAACUGGACUCUGGGCUUGGGGACAGGCCUCCGGGUCCCCUGAGCCCUGCCCCCACCCUGCAGCAGAGGCCCUGCUCCAGGACGGGCCCCACAGAGGGAUGGGUUUCCCAGGGAGCUGGGGAAAAGGAGGCUUCUUGGGUAAAGAAAGGAGCAGGUGCUGGUUCCGCGUCCGAGGGCCCAGCCUAGACAGAAGAGAGUCCCACGGGGCUGAGCGGGGAAGGGACUGAAUGAAGGAGGCGGGGACAGAAGAGCCUCAGGAGGAAGCUCUGCUUUGCGGCCAGCGGGGCGGACGGAGCGGACAGGUCAUCUCAGGAAGGCCCGAGCCGUCCGGGGGAGGCAGACGGAGCGAGGAGACCGGGGUCCCCACUUGGGCUGGGGAUCUGACUGCAGCCCCCAGGGAAGCCCAACAAAGCCAGGAGAAGGCUUAGGCUUCCGUUUCCGGUGGACUUGCUCCAGUGGCGGCAGGUGCCGGGGCCGGGAGGGAGAUGACUCCAGUGGCCGCCCUGUGUGAACCCCGGCAGAUCUCCUCAUGUACACAGCACACGGCGGACCCCUGCUUCGGCUGUGGGGGACACUCAGGGAGGAAGUGUUGGUGGCCCGCUGGGACACCGAAGCCCCCUCCAGCUCCCACCCAGGAGCCCUCUGGGGGGUCCACCCUGCCGUCUCAAGUCCUGUGGGAUCUGCUUUGAGAGAGCCCAGGGACGGACACUGCCCCCUCCUCUGCCUUCUCACCUUCAGGCCCAGGCUUCCAGGGCCACCUUGGUGUUGACCCACUCAUCAGUCCAGCUAAAUGCCUGACAUCCCUAACAAGGCCCUGAGGAGGCAACC